AAGACUAUACUUUCAGGAAUCAUUUCUGUACUUCACUACUAGAGAACUUUCUCUGAACCUGUAGAGCACCAGAAACCAGGAAGAGCACAGGGUUCUCUUCUGAACAUGAAGCCAGCCCUUGGUGCUGUGUCUUUGCAACUGACAUUUACCAUCAAUGAUUGUUCUUCUCUUCCUUUGGGAGAGUGAGAGGGAGAGGAUGAAGUCUGAAUGGU
Molecule: small nucleolar RNA, 212 nt
Organism: Lemur catta (Ring-tailed lemur)
Lineage: Eukaryota; Metazoa; Chordata; Mammalia; Primates; Lemuridae
Product: small nucleolar RNA U3
Exons: 1
Source: RefSeq, a predicted model, not a curated record